This 696-nucleotide small RNA is filed under the name Pongo abelii (Sumatran orangutan). Its description in RNAcentral is "processed transcript". The record is from RNAcentral. Lineage: Eukaryota; Metazoa; Chordata; Mammalia; Primates; Hominidae.
GGGGACGCGGGUGGCAGAAAGUGGAGCUGGGCUGAUGUGCGGGAGCGGCCGGAGUCUGUGGAGCUGGAAAUUCACCGGUCCAGGAAGACGUCUUUCCUGCGUCCCAGCACCUUGGGCCACGCUCCUUGGUGAGAGCGCCCUCUCCAAGGAGGCUGGCCCUGGAUAUUUCACCCAAAAUAUUUAUUUUUUCUUUUUUUCUAGGCUCCUGUUUUCCUAAUAGCAUGAACAGCCCCCCGUCAGCUCCUACCCCUUUGUCUCUGACCUGUUCCUCCUCCAAGGUGACCUCUAUCCUGAAUUUUGAAAACAUAUUAGUAUUGCUUAUUUCUGAACUUUAUGCAGAUGAAGUCAUUGGGUCUCCCUCUGUCACCCAGGGCUGGAGUGCAGUGGCAUAAUCACAGCUAAUUGCAGCCUCAACAUUCCAGGCCCAAGGAUCCUCCCUUUAGCCUCCCAGGUAGCUGGGACCACAGAGUCGGAGUCUCCCUAUGUUUCCCAGGCUGGUCUCGAACUCCUGACCUCAAGUGAUCCUCCCACCUCAGCCUCCCAGAGCGCUGGGAUUGAAGACGUGAGCCACCGCACCUGGCCUGAAUUUUCCUCAGAUUCAAAAAAUCCUGAUGAAGGUUUGGCUAAAAUCUUUGGUGAGUUACCCCCAUCCUUGUGGAACCUCAGGCUGGAUUUGAAGAGUUGCAUGCGUGGUCC